Molecule: transfer RNA, 99 nt
Filed under: Planctomycetota bacterium
Lineage: Bacteria; Pseudomonadati; Planctomycetota
Description: Planctomycetes bacterium (groundwater metagenome) tRNA-Sec
Rfam family: Selenocysteine transfer RNA
Source: RNAcentral
GGGAGCGGAUCGGGGCUGGUGUCCUGCCUGGUCUUCAAAACCAGUGGGGGUCGCGCUCGACGCGGCCCCGGUGGGUUCGAUUCCCAUGCGCUCCCGCCA